AGUCGACUUUUGCAGUUGCAUAGAGGAAACAGUAGACUUGAUAAUCAGAAGCUGAUUCGAGCAUGACUUUGUUAAAGAAUGCGUUCUUGCCAUAUCUGCUGCUGCCAGCGUACUUGGAGUUCCCAUCAUUGUUGAAGGCGUCAUAGGUGGCUUGGCAGAAGUCGCCACAGCGAAGGAUUAGGCGACGGAGGCUGAAGCUCAGAGGGUCGAGGAGGCCGUUCCAGUCGUCGCGGCCGAGAAGUUCCGGCCAUGUUGGCUCUGUUUGAGAUGAGUCCACCAUGGUUCUUUGCGGAUAAGAAUUUGAGGUGAAUGCAAUGUGGGAUCCUAGGCAAUUACCUGUGGUUCUGUGGAGGAGAGCGCCAAAUGAUAUGGCAACUUGAAAUUUGGACCGCACAUAUCAACUUCUUGCUGUCCACCAAUAAAUGGUUGACACAUCAUUUUACAUUAAAGUGUCACCUAAUUUUUGAGGCAUUUUCAAGAAUAUCCAAUUUUAAGAGUAUGAGUUGAAAAAUGUCCACUCAUUUGAAUUUAGUGUCAAUUUGUCUAUUAUGCCCUUAAUGAAAAGCUACAUUUUGAAAUGGUAUUUUCGAUAUUUUAAAUAUCAUUCUCGACAUUUUGAUUUUUUUAUCAAUUUGUCAAGAAUUUUGAGAAGUGGCUUCCAUGAAAAGUUAUAUUAAAAUAAAUUCGGACGACAAAAAAAGAAAAAGAAAAUAUAAUACUUUAAAAAAAUAACGUGAAAACAAAAAAUAUGAUACUUUUAAAAAAAAAAAAAAAAUCACGUCUCCGUGACAUGGAGACAUUCUCGACAUUUGCCACCGUGUCACGGAGACAUUCUCGACAUUACUAAUGUCAUUCUCGACAUUUGAAUACCGUGUCAUUAAAAAAAAAAAAUUGAAAAAAUCCCGUCUCCGUGACACGGACAAGUAAUAGCCCUUAAUGAAAAGCUACAUUUUGAAAUGGUAUUUUCGAUAUUUCAAAUGUCAUUCUCGACAUUUUGAUUUUUUUAUCAAUUUGUCACGAAUUUUGAGAAGUGGCUUCCAUGAAAAGUUAUAUUAAAAUAAAUUCGGACGACAAAAAAAGAAAAAGAAAAUAUAAUACUUUAAAAAAAUAACGUGAAAACAAAAAAUAUGAUACUUUUAAAAAAAAAAAAAUCACGUCUCCGUGACACGGAGACAUUCUCGACAUUACUAAUGUCAUUCUCGACAUUUGAAUACCGUGUCAUUAAAAAAAAAAUUGAAAAAAUCCCGUCUCCGUGACACGGACAAGUACCUCCGUGUCACGGUGACAUUCUCGACGUUACAUAUGUCAUUCUCGACAUUUGAACGUUUCAUUUGUCUAGAAUGACAUUUUAUUUUGAACAUAACAUUUCUCGACAUUUGAAAAUAUCGUUCUCGACAUUUCUGAGUCAACGAAAAAUAUAGCAUUUAUUGUGAUUUGACAUGUAUACUUUUGAAAUAAAUAUAGCAGGUUAUGUGUCAAAAUUUUAUUCGUCAAUAACAAUUUUACAAAAAUGUCCAUUUUUUUGUCGUAGUGUGGAAUAAAAAAUUGUUAAUAAGGGUAUUUUGGUCUAAAUUUUUUCAAAUUGGACAUUUUUGCAAUGGUUUGCAAUAAUUGACAUUUUUGCAAAUGACUAAGUAAAAAUUGACAUUUGACAAAAUUUCCUCAUCUUAAAACUCCAACAAAGAUGGGUGGAUAAUUAAAAUGAUAGGGUGAUUGAAUAAGGAAACCUUUGGAAAGCCUCCUAAUAGAACAUUAAGAUAGAUGGGUUUAACGAGGCAACGUUCUAUUACUCCAAUUUAAUUAUAGUUAUUUGAGCUUUUUUCCUUCAUUUGGUAUAUUUAUCUUCGCAAACAAAGGUGUAGUGAUAAAAAGUUUGUAACUGUUUCGAUUAAUGGCUUAAGGAAUUUCUACUUUGGUAAGAGACUUCUUGAAUUGACAUUGGCUCUAAUAUUGAUCCAAUGGUGUAUGCGGUGAGCCAUAUUUAAUUUCUCGAGAGUUUGAAUUUAGUUUUAGACCCUGCAUCUCCCUCUCCAGGCUCCAAUCGAGCAAGCUACUCCACACAUCAUGGUGAGUCGUCAUAGUUGUUUGCUGUAUUUUCUAUAAGAAUUGCAAGCAAUAUUUUUGUUUUACUCAUUUUACUUCAUUUUAGAUAAUGUAAAUGUUUCACAAGUUAACCUGUUACAUAUAUUAAAAAAGCCACUUGAACGAUCCCCCUGGACAUCCAGGGAUUGUUCAAGCAAUAGCCCCCUUUAUUUGUUGAAAAAGGCCGUUGGGAUAGGCCCAAAAACAGUGCCAAAUGGCGCCCCCUGUUUUGGCCCUAUUUUCAAGCGCAUUUGUUUUGGGUAAUGAUUGAACCAAUUGAAUUGAUUAAGGAGUGGACAUGAUGUUGUCAUUUCUUGUUGACAUGACUAGACUUGUUUACCCUAAUCGUGAAAUGCCAAUUUACCUUCUUUGUUUUCUCAUAGACAAUAGGGGUAGCUCAAUCUCAAGUUACACUUAUUAAUCAAUUGGUAUUUGGAAUGAAAUAAUGAAUAUAUUUUUAAAUUAUGAUGCAUUGAUAUAAUCAUUGACAUAAUACUAGACGACACUCUAUCAUUAAACUAUAUCAAAUACAAUCAAUUUUUUCUUCUAAUCAUAUCUUGCCAACUAACAUUAUGUCGCUCCAUCUGUCAACCACUUUAUGUUUAUGUCAAAGUGGCAUAACCCUAUGUUUUAAGAUUAUCAUGGAAAUUAAGAUGUCGUUUAAAUGUCUAUAUGCUAAGAAAAUGUUUAUGAAAUCAAUACUGAUUUGUUCAUUUAUCGGCCUCCCUCUCUCUCAGGGUCACAUAUUCCCAAGACAUAAACUCAUAUAUUCAAAAUGAUACCAUUUUAUAAGUUUUGUUUGUCAACAGUCAUGAUGACGUCACAAAUGACAUUAGUUUAAAUUAAUUUAUUGGCAAAAAUAGUCAUGUGAUAAAAUUUAUUUACAAUCUUCUAUUGUUGUCAAAAAUCUAUCAUUGAUAUCUAUCCAUAACAAUGGGGGUAAGGAGUCGUCACUAGAUUUUAUUGAUAAAUCAUAAAUCUAAUUUUCUCCCAAUAGUUGAAGUAAAAUCAAUACCCUACACUAAAUACAAAUAAACACAAGUCUGGUUUGUUUCAUUCAAUUUUUUUAUUUUUAUUUUUUAAUUUUCACCAAUAGGAAGCAAAUGAACAAGGGUUGAUAAUAUUUUUGGUCAUUAAAGUUUGAUUAAAAUAUCAAUUAGCUGGUCGCGUAACUUUAAUUUGUCGUAAUCAUUACUCGAUUUCAAUUUCCAUCCUAAACUUUUGUCCCCGGCUUUCUGAGUAAAAACACCCCCAAUCAUGUCAAUGGGUGAAAAUCUUGAAAUGAGAGAUGAAUACUUUUCGAGUAUGCUCUGUCGGAUGAAUGAUACAUCUAUUUUUUAACAUGAUUUAUCUUCAAACUUUACAAUUGCAACAUAGUUAGCUGGCAUAUUUAUUGAGAAAUACAUCGCAUAUUUUUAUCAUUUUUAAUAUUCAUGUAGAAUUGUGACAUUAAAUUUAGUAACGAUGGAUAAUGGAGUGACUAUUGAGAUUUUACUGAAAGUUCAAUGACUAAAAAUGAAAUUAAUCCUACUAAGAAUCCUAGUAUUUUUCUUACGGUGCACAAAGGCAUGUUUGCCUAAGUUCAUUGAAUUUCAAAGAAAGUAUUUAUUUAUUAUUUUGCAGAAUUGAAGAAAGUAUUAUUAAAUCAAGACUCAUCGUUUUCUAAUAUAAUUAAAAAAAAAAAAAAAAACUCUUGCGAUUAUUAAAGUGAAAAUGGUUGAUUUAUUUAUUUUGAACUCGAGUUCAUACAAGUUAGUGAGGUCAUGCACUAAACACCCAAUUUGUGUGAAAAAGGGACGAAAGAAGAGGUCAGAGAAAGGUUUGUGAAGAUAUUAGUAAUUUGACAUUGGAGAGAACAUACCAAACAUGGAGAUGACCUAAAAAAUAAAAAUAAAAUUGAAAUUUUUGAAUGAGAUGAAGUAAAUUUUGUUAUGUUUGGAACAAGAAUGGAACUCAAUAUUAUUAACCAUGUGAAGAACAUUUGUGUUGUCACAAAAAAGAAAUUGAAGGCGUUGUAGAAAGAAGGCAAUGUUGCCAGGGCGAAAGCCGCGAAACUACACUUGAACAAACAAUAAUAGUUGAUUUUUUUGACCUCAAAAAAGUACAAUUUGUAUCAAGAUAAACAUGAUAACAAUUUUUGUUGAGUGAAUAGACAACCUAUCUAGUAAAUGUUUGAGAACGCAUAAAGUAAAAUGAGCUUUGAGAUAGAUAAUAAUCGUCAACUUGCACAGUUCUACUGGAAUAUCAAUUUAUAACAAUUUGACUUAUUGCAUCGAAAGACGAGUAAAAAGAAAGCCUCAAAGACAUAUCAACUAAGCUAAGAGACUACUUUGAGCAUAUAGAAAAAGAAACGCAAUUUGCAAGCAUCAAGGAGAAGUUUUCAUUAAUGGAGCCAAUAAGUUAGUUCUUGUAUAUGGUUACUUAAAAACGUUGAAAAAACGCAUUUUCUCCAUUUAGUUAUCUUAUUUUCAAUUUUGGACUUACUAGAAUAGAAUGAACGAGGUGAAUAUUAGUGGGUUGAAUAUCUAGAUAGGAAUUUACAAUAAUAUCUAAACUUGAAAUUUGAUCGAAUUCUUUGACAAUUAAGUGAGCUCAUCUUCUUUUUAUUUUCAUGAAAUAAUUCAGUUUUUAGCUAACAACAUUGGUGUUGAGGGACGAGGAACAAGUGUCCAAGUCUGGUUGCAAUGAAAAGCUUGGACCCUACCAUGUCGGCCAUCAACUCUUCUUGUUGGGUCAAUCACAAGGCAAUGUGUUCCACGAGCAAAUGACUUCACUAUUGGACUUGUGACAUCUCCUCUUUUUCGAUUUAACUCCUUCACAUUAGAGUCAUGAGACAUGUCGGUUGCAAUCUCAAAAGCAUUAUUAGAAAUUGUCUAGAACUAUGUUGUACGUGUUAAAGUUGGUCAUUCACGAUUUUAUAUUAUAGAUAUAGAUUCAUCGUCGAUUCUUCCUAUCGUUCCUUUUAUCUUGGAUAUCUCACUUAGAAUGAUUAGCAUUCUUUUCAAUAUUGUGCCCAUGGUAUGUACUGCAUGUGAUCGGUGAGAACGUUUCUUUCAAAACUUAGAUUAGCGCUCAGUGUGAGUGCUGAAGUUCUCGAGUAUAUGGGAUAUGAGAGAUGAUGUGUUAAGAAAUUCUUUUUAUUAUAAAUAACGAUUACUUGAAAGUAUGAUUAUGAGAUAAUUCUUGAAAAAAGUGUUUCAAGAAUAAAAGUACACGAUGAUCACUAAAAUUGAUUAUCACACAUGCUUACACUCAAUAAAAGACCCAAAUAAGCUACUUAUAAGUUUAGCCAAACAUGCCUUCAUUCCACAACAUACCUGAUAAAGUAAAGCAAGAAAAAGCACAUUAUAGAUUAGUGCCAAAUUCCAACCUAAGUUAAAGGAACAGAGAAUCUACAAUUCUUGGAAACCAGAUGGCAACACAGAGCAUUUAGAAUCGGCCAGCGUAGAAACGCCAAACCUUUUAUAGCAUUCGAUCUUCAUCACUCGAGUACCUAAUGCAUGAGCUCAAGAGUGGCAUGGAGUCGUGACCACUUCAAAAUUCAGGCACGGGUUGAUCCUCGUCCGAUAGUGGUUCCAAAAUCCAGUCUCCAUUUUCAUCAAGAACCAUCCCUUUAUUCUUCUCAACCCCCAGUUAAAAACGGGGUAACUGAUAUCCCAGUUUCUGCUAUUGUUUUUGGUAGUCCUCAAGUUGGGAACAGGGCUUUCAAUGAAAGAUUGAACAAAUAUCAAAAUCUGAAUGUGCUGCAUAUCAAGAACGAGAUUGAUAUGAUUCCGCAUUAUCUGAGUCCAUUACCGGGAUAUUCGAAUACUGGAAUCGAGCUGGAGAUUGACAACAGAAAAUCUCCAAGUUUGAAGGAAUCGAGCAAUCCGAGUGACUGGCAUAAUUUGCAGGUUAUGCUUCAUGUUGGGGCGGGUUGGAAUGGUAGUGAAGGGGAAUUUGAACUGAAAGUGAAGAGGAGUUUGGCUUUGGUGAAUAAAUCCAGUGCCAUUUUAAAUGAUGAGUAUUUGAUUCCUGGUUCUGCGAAUGCUGAUAAAAUUGCUAAACAUGCACCAAGACUAUGCCCUGUUAAUAUUAUGCUCAGAUCUUCAUCUUUAUACUGGUCUCUCAGUGCAUUAAUCUUAGCCAAAAUCUGUUCUCUUGCACUCAAUUUUGUGAAAGAUGAAUUGGGAUCAUUAGAAACGUAAAUUGUAAGCCAACAGUUCAUCACUUUUGGCUCAUUCUCGUCUUCAUCACUACUGCUACUGUCAUCUGGGCUCCUUUUUUCCCAUGAGUUAGGGCGCAAUAAUGGAUCGGCUGACUCUGGUCUAGCUCUCAACACAUUAAGCCAUUCGUAAUUCCUUGAGGUACCGCACCAAACGACAUAAGCUUCCCUACGGCCUCGUACCCUGCUAACUUCAUCGGUCGUCACAGCAGUGUAGCCUAUCCAGUUUGUUUCUCGAUCCCAGGCUUCUCUUGACAGGGAAUGCAAGAAGAGAGCUUGAAAGAAGUUGACUUUCGCAGUUGUGUAGAGGAAACUGUAGACUUGAUAAUCAGAAGCUGAUUCCAGCAUGACUUUGUUAAAGAAUGAGUUCUUGCCAUAUCUGCUGCUGCCAGCGUACUUGGAGUUCCCAUCAUUGUUGAAGGCGUCAUAGGUGGCUUGGCAGAAGUCGCCACAGCGGAGGAUUAGGCGACGAAGGCUGAGGCUCAGAGGGUCGAGGAGGCCGUUCCAGUCAUCACGGCCGAGAAGUUCCGGCCAUGUUGGCUCUGUUUGAGGUGAGUCCACCAUGGUUCUUUGCGGAUAAGAAUUUGGGGUGAAUGCAAUGUAGAUCCUAGGCAAUUACUUCUAACUGUGGUUGGAAGUGGGUUUGUGGAGUGGAGUGGAGUGGAGUGGAGUGUCAAAUGAUAAUGCAACUUGAAAUUUGAAUAGGACGGCAUAUUUUGGACAACAUAUCUCAACUCUUUGCUAUUGAAUUUAGUGUUCACCAAUAAAUAAUCGACACAUCAUUUUACAUUAAAGCGUUACAUAAUUUUUAGCACAAGUAACACUAAGAGAAAAUUUGAAUAUAUUAAUGUAAAAUGAUGUGUCAAUCAUUUAUUGGAUGGAUAAUGAAUGAGAUAGCAACUUUUAGAUAGCCGAUCUCAACUCCAACAAGGAUAGGUGGAUAAGAAUUUUGGGGUGAAUGCAUUGUGAGAUCCUAGCCAAUUACUUAUAGGUGUCGUUAGAAGUGGUUUUGUGGAGUGGAGUAGAGAGUAAAAUGAUAAGGUAAAUUGAAAUUUGAAAAGGACGGCAAAUUUUGGACAUCAUAUCUCAACUCUUUGCUCUCCAAUUUACUAUCCACCAAUAAAUGAUCGACCUAUCAUUUUACAUUAAAGUAUCACAUAAUUUUAAGCACAAGUGACAGUAAAAGAAAAGUUGGAUAUAUUAAUUUAAAAUGAUGUAUCAAUCACUUAUUGGAUGGAUAACAAAUUGUACAACAACUUUUAGAUAGCAAAUCUCAACUCCAACAAGGAUAGAUGGAUAAGAAUUUGGGGUGAAUGCAAUGUGAGAUCCUAGGCAAUUAAUUAUGGUUGUGGCCAUGAGUGGUUUUGUGGAGUGAAGUAGAGCGUCAAAUGAUAAGGCAACUUGAAAUUUGAAAAGGUUAGCAAAUUUUAGACAGCAUAUCUCAACUCUUUGCUCUCUAAUUUAUUAUCCACCAAUAAAUGAUCGACAUAUCAUUUUAUAUUAAAGUAUCAUCUAAUUUUAAGAACAAGUGACAGUAAGAGAAAAGUGGGAUAUGUUAAUUUAAAGUGAUGUGCCAAUCAUUUAUUAGAUGGACAACAAAUUGGAUAGCAACUUUUAGACGGCAUAUCUCAACUCGAACAAAGAUAUGUGGAUACUGAAAAUGAUAGGGUGAUUGAAUAAGGAAACCUUUGGAAAGCCUCAUAAUAGAACAUGAAGAUAGAUAGGUAGGUGGUGGUGGUGGUGGUGGUUUGCUUUCGAUUUGAUUAUGUUUUAGGGGUAGCAACGACCUAGUUUUCUUGGUGGGCACCGUUCUAUAUGAUCCUAGACAGUCCGUGUAAGGAAUUUGAAACGAUCGUGUGGGCUUAUAUGUGUAAAUUAUUGUAUACUAAAUUAAAUGCUAUCGAAUUCGAUUGAACCCAUUUAAAGUGAUCUAAUAAGGCUUCAGUUUUGGACUUUAAUGCAUCCAAUUAAAGUAUAUGUUUAUUUUAUGUGUAGAGACCGGACUCAAGUUCCUAAUUCUAUGAUGGGCCGAAUUAGGUCAAAGGACAUCGCUAUAUAAAUACAGUUGCGGUCCCCAGAUCACACGUACAUAUUAUACAUUCUCUUCUGAAUCC
RNAcentral lists this long non-coding RNA (8400 nucleotides) under Olea europaea (common olive). RNAcentral describes it as "long non-coding RNA (OEUR_LNC014683)". The record is from RNAcentral. Lineage: Eukaryota; Viridiplantae; Streptophyta; Magnoliopsida; Lamiales; Oleaceae.